RNAcentral lists this ribosomal RNA (253 nucleotides) under uncultured bacterium. Its description in RNAcentral is "partial 16S ribosomal RNA". It matches the Rfam family "Bacterial small subunit ribosomal RNA", at positions 524 to 776 of the family's 1533-position model. The record is from RNAcentral.
UACGAAGGGGGCUAGCGUUGCUCGGAAUUACUGGGCGUAAAGGGAGCGUAGGCGGGUUAUCAGGUUGGAGGUGAAAGCCCAGGGCUCAACCUUGGAAUUGCCUUCAAAACUGAUAGCCUAGAGUAUGAUAGAGGUAUGUGGAACUCCGAGUGUAGAGGUGAAAUUCGUAGAUAUUCGGAAGAACACCAGUGGCGAAGGCGACUCACUGGACAUGUAUUGACGCUGAGGUACGAAAGCGUGGGGAGCAAACAGG